UGUCUACGCCUUGCUACCCUGAACAAGCCCGAUCCCAGCUGAUCUCGGAAGCUAAGCAGGGCUAGGCCUGGUUAGUACUUGGAUGGGAGACCACCUACGAAGACUAGGUACCGUAGGCAU
Pteropus vampyrus (large flying fox) is the source of this 120-nucleotide ribosomal RNA. The record is from Ensembl. NCBI's taxonomy places the organism in Eukaryota, Metazoa, Chordata, Mammalia, Chiroptera, Pteropodidae.